RNAcentral lists this transfer RNA (75 nucleotides) under Viscum minimum. Its description in RNAcentral is "tRNA-His". It matches the Rfam family "tRNA". Rfam says of the family: Transfer RNA (tRNA) molecules are approximately 80 nucleotides in length. Lineage: Eukaryota; Viridiplantae; Streptophyta; Magnoliopsida; Santalales; Viscaceae. The record is from RNAcentral.
GGCGGAUAUAGCCAAGUGGAUCAAGGCAGUGGAUUGUGAAUCCACCAUGCGCGGGUUCAAUUCCCGUUGUUCGCC